RNAcentral lists this transfer RNA (70 nucleotides) under Carbula sinica. RNAcentral's name for it is "tRNA-Glu". It matches the Rfam family "tRNA". From Rfam's summary of the family: Transfer RNA (tRNA) molecules are approximately 80 nucleotides in length. Lineage: Eukaryota; Metazoa; Arthropoda; Insecta; Hemiptera; Pentatomidae. The record is from RNAcentral.
GUUUAUAUAGUUUAAUAAAAAAAACUUUUCAUUUUCAAUGAAACAAUAAGAGAAUACUUCUUUAUAAAUA